This 429-nucleotide ribosomal RNA is filed under the name Verrucomicrobiota bacterium. Its description in RNAcentral is "Verrucomicrobia bacterium partial 16S ribosomal RNA". It matches the Rfam family "Bacterial small subunit ribosomal RNA", at positions 355 to 776 of the family's 1533-position model. Lineage: Bacteria; Pseudomonadati; Verrucomicrobiota. The record is from RNAcentral.
UAGGGAAUCUUCCGCAAUGGACGAAAGUCUGACGGAGCAACGCCGCGUGAGUGAAGAAGGAUUUCGGUUCGUAAAACUCUGUUGUUAGGGAAGAAAAAAUGUAUAGUAACUAUAUACAAAAGAGACGGUACCUAACCAGAAAGCCACGGCUAACUACGUGCCAGCAGCCGCGGUAAUACGUAGGUGGCAAGCGUUGUCCGGAAUUAUUGGGCGUAAAGCGCGCGCAGGUGGUUUAGAAAGUCUGAUGGGAAAGCCCACGGCUCAAACGUGGAGGGUCAUUGGAAUCUAAUAAACUUGAGUGCAGGAGAGAAAAGUGGGAUUCCUAGUGUGGCGGUGAAAUGCGUAAGGAUUAGGAGGAACACCGGUGGCGAAAGCGGCUUUUUGGCCUGCAACUGAGACUGAGGCGCGAAAGCGUGGGGAGCAAACAGG